Molecule: ribosomal RNA, 497 nt
Filed under: uncultured bacterium
Lineage: Bacteria
Description: partial 16S ribosomal RNA
Rfam family: Bacterial small subunit ribosomal RNA
Source: RNAcentral
GAUGAACGCUGGCGGCGUGCCUAAUACAUGCAAGUCGAGCGAACAGAUGAGGAGCUUGCUCCUCUGACGUUAGCGGCGGACGGGUGAGUAACACGUGGAUAACCUACCUAUAAGACUGGGAUAACUUCGGGAAACCGGAGCUAAUACCGGAUAAUAUAUUGAACCGCAUGGUUCAAUAGUGAAAGACGGUUUUGCUGUCACUUAUAGAUGGAUCCGCGCCGCAUUAGCUAGUUGGUAAGGUAACGGCUUACCAAGGCAACGAUGCGUAGCCGACCUGAGAGGGUGAUCGGCCACACUGGAACUGAGACACGGUCCAGACUCCUACGGGAGGCAGCAGUAGGGAAUCUUACGCAAUGGGCGAGAGCCUGACGGAGCAACGCCGCGUGAGUGAUGAAGGUCUUCGGAUCGUAAAACUCUGUUAUUAGGGAAGAACAAAUGUGUAAGUAACUAUGCACGUCUUGACGGUACCUAAUCAGAAAGCCACGGCUAACUACGUG